Molecule: ribosomal RNA, 254 nt
Filed under: uncultured bacterium
Lineage: Bacteria
Description: partial 16S ribosomal RNA
Rfam family: Bacterial small subunit ribosomal RNA
Source: RNAcentral
UACGAAGGGUGCAAACGUUAUUCGGAAUCACUGGGCUUAAAGGGCGCGUAGGCGGCCGAGCGGGUCGUGGGUGAAAUCCUCCAGCUUAACUGGAGAACCGCUUACGAUACCACUGCGGCUCGAGGAAGGAAGGGGCAAUCGGAACUGUCGGUGGAGCGGUGAAAUGCGUUGAUAUCGACAGGAACGCCGGUGGCGAAAGCGGAUUGCUGGUCCUUUUCUGACGCUGAGGCGCGAAAGCCAGGGGAGCAAACGGG